RNAcentral lists this ribosomal RNA (443 nucleotides) under uncultured bacterium. RNAcentral's name for it is "partial 16S ribosomal RNA". It matches the Rfam family "Bacterial small subunit ribosomal RNA", at positions 338 to 795 of the family's 1533-position model. The record is from RNAcentral.
CCUACGGGAGGCAGCAGUGGGGAAUAUUGGGCAAUGGGCGCAAGCCUGACCCAGCAACGCCGCGUGAAGGAAGAAGGCUUUCGGGUUGUAAACUUCUUUUCUCAGGGACGAAGAAAGUGACGGUACCUGAGGAAUAAGCCACGGCUAACUACGUGCCAGCAGCCGCGGUAAUACGUAGGGGGCAAGCGUUAUCCGGAUUUAUUGGGUGUAAAGGGCGUGUAGGCGGGAGCGCAAGUCAGAUGUGAAAACUCAGGGCUCAACCCUGAGCCUGCAUUGGAAACUGUGUUUCUUGAGUGCUGGGGAGGCAGUCGGAAUUCCGUGUGUAGCGGUGAAAUGCGUAGAUAUACGGAGGAACACCAGUGGCGAAGGCGGAUUGCUGGACAGUAACUGACGCUGAGGCGCGAAAGCGUGGGUAGCAAACAGGAUUAGAUACCCUGGUAGUC